RNAcentral lists this ribosomal RNA (209 nucleotides) under uncultured Acinetobacter sp. RNAcentral's name for it is "partial 16S ribosomal RNA". It matches the Rfam family "Bacterial small subunit ribosomal RNA", at positions 568 to 775 of the family's 1533-position model. The record is from RNAcentral. Lineage: Bacteria; Pseudomonadati; Pseudomonadota; Gammaproteobacteria; Moraxellales; Moraxellaceae.
CGCGUAGGUGGCCAAUUAAGUCAAAUGUGAAAUCCCCGAGCUUAACUUGGGAAUUGCAUUCGAUACUGGUUGGCUAGAGUAUGGGAGAGGAUGGUAGAAUUCCAGGUGUAGCGGUGAAAUGCGUAGAGAUCUGGAGGAAUACCGAUGGCGAAGGCAGCCAUCUGGCCUAAUACUGACACUGAGGUGCGAAAGCAGUGGGGAGCAAACAG